Molecule: ribosomal RNA, 2140 nt
Filed under: human gut metagenome
Description: bacterial LSU rRNA
Rfam family: Bacterial large subunit ribosomal RNA
Source: RNAcentral
UUAAGCGACUAAGCGUACACGGUGGAUGCCCUGGCAGUCAGAGGCGAUGAAGGACGUGCUAAUCUGCGAUAAGCGUCGGUAAGGUGAUAUGAACCGUUAUAACCGGCGAUUUCCGAAUGGGGAAACCCAGUGUGAUUCGUCACACUAUCAUUAACUGAAUCCAUAGGUUAAUGAGGCGAACCGGGGGAACUGAAACAUCUAAGUACCCCGAGGAAAAGAAAUCAACCGAGAUUCCCCCAGUAGCGGCGAGCGAACGGGGAGCAGCCCAGAGCCUGAAUCAGUGUGUGUGUUAGUGGAAGCGUCUGGAAAGGCGCGCGAUACAGGGUGACAGCCCCGUACACAAAAAUGCACAUGCUGUGAGCUCGAUGAGUAGGGCGGGACACGUGGUAUCCUGUCUGAAUAUGGGGGGACCAUCCUCCAAGGCUAAAUACUCCUGACUGACCGAUAGUGAACCAGUACCGUGAGGGAAAGGCGAAAAGAACCCCGGCGAGGGGAGUGAAAAAGAACCUGAAACCGUGUACGUACAAGCAGUGGGAGCCUCUUUAUGGGGUGACUGCGUACCUUUUGUAUAAUGGGUCAGCGACUUAUAUUCUGUAGCAAGGUUAACCGAAUAGGGGAGCCGAAGGGAAACCGAGUCUUAACUGGGCGUUAAGUUGCAGGGUAUAGACCCGAAACCCGGUGAUCUAGCCAUGGGCAGGUUGAAGGUUGGGUAACACUAACUGGAGGACCGAACCGACUAAUGUUGAAAAAUUAGCGGAUGACUUGUGGCUGGGGGUGAAAGGCCAAUCAAACCGGGAGAUAGCUGGUUCUCCCCGAAAGCUAUUUAGGUAGCGCCUCGUGAAUUCAUCUCCGGGGGUAGAGCACUGUUUCGGCAAGGGGGUCAUCCCGACUUACCAACCCGAUGCAAACUGCGAAUACCGGAGAAUGUUAUCACGGGAGACACACGGCGGGUGCUAACGUCCGUCGUGAAGAGGGAAACAACCCAGACCGCCAGCUAAGGUCCCAAAGUCAUGGUUAAGUGGGAAACGAUGUGGGAAGGCCCAGACAGCCAGGAUGUUGGCUUAGAAGCAGCCAUCAUUUAAAGAAAGCGUAAUAGCUCACUGGUCGAGUCGGCCUGCGCGGAAGAUGUAACGGGGCUAAACCAUGCACCGAAGCUGCGGCAGCGACGCUUAUGCGUUGUUGGGUAGGGGAGCGUUCUGUAAGCCUGCGAAGGUGUACUGUGAGGUAUGCUGGAGGUAUCAGAAGUGCGAAUGCUGACAUAAGUAACGAUAAAGCGGGUGAAAAGCCCGCUCGCCGGAAGACCAAGGGUUCCUGUCCAACGUUAAUCGGGGCAGGGUGAGUCGACCCCUAAGGCGAGGCCGAAAGGCGUAGUCGAUGGGAAACAGGUUAAUAUUCCUGUACUUGGUGUUACUGCGAAGGGGGGACGGAGAAGGCUAUGUUGGCCGGGCGACGGUUGUCCCGGUUUAAGCGUGUAGGCUGGUUUUCCAGGCAAAUCCGGAAAAUCAAGGCUGAGGCGUGAUGACGAGGCACUACGGUGCUGAAGCAACAAAUGCCCUGCUUCCAGGAAAAGCCUCUAAGCAUCAGGUAACAUCAAAUCGUACCCCAAACCGACACAGGUGGUCAGGUAGAGAAUACCAAGGCGCUUGAGAGAACUCGGGUGAAGGAACUAGGCAAAAUGGUGCCGUAACUUCGGGAGAAGGCACGCUGAUAUGUAGGUGAAGUCCCUUGCGGAUGGAGCUGAAAUCAGUCGAAGAUACCAGCUGGCUGCAACUGUUUAUUAAAAACACAGCACUGUGCAAACACGAAAGUGGACGUAUACGGUGUGACGCCUGCCCGGUGCCGGAAGGUUAAUUGAUGGGGUUAGCGGUAACGCGAAGCUCUUGAUCGAAGCCCCGGUAAACGGCGGCCGUAACUAUAACGGUCCUAAGGUAGCGAAAUUCCUUGUCGGGUAAGUUCCGACCUGCACGAAUGGCGUAAUGAUGGCCAGGCUGUCUCCACCCGAGACUCAGUGAAAUUGAACUCGCUGUGAAGAUGCAGUGUACCCGCGGCAAGACGGAAAGACCCCGUGAACCUUUACUAUAGCUUGACACUGAACAUUGAGCCUUGAUGUGUAGGAUAGGUGGGAGGCUUUGAAGUGUGG